RNAcentral lists this long non-coding RNA (676 nucleotides) under Brassica napus (rape). RNAcentral describes it as "long non-coding RNA (BNAP_LNC002714)". The record is from RNAcentral. Lineage: Eukaryota; Viridiplantae; Streptophyta; Magnoliopsida; Brassicales; Brassicaceae.
AAGCCCGAUGUGAAUCAAACCUCCAAGAACGUCCACACACGCGCCUAGCUUCAACGUGUCGAUUGGGCAAGUCUCUGGCUUAGGUGGAGUUGGUGUUGGCGGUGUUACGACCGGUGGGCUUGGUGUUGGUGGCGUAACAACAGGUGGCGGUGGGCACGGUGAUGGCGGUGGCGGUGGGCACGGUGAUGGCGGCGUUACGACGGGUGAAGGCGUAUGAGUGGGUGGUUUAGGGGUGGACGGAGGUGGUUUAACAGUGGGCGGUUUCGUGGGUGGUUUCGGGGUAGACGGAGGAGGUUUAACGGUGGGCGGUUUCGUGGGUGGUUUCGGGGUGGACGGAGGUGGUUUAACGGUGGGCGGUUUCGUGGGUGGUUUCGGGGUGGGAUGAGGUUUGGUAGGGGGUUUCGGAUGUGGGUGUGGUUUGACAGUGGGCGGUUUGGUAGGGGGUUUAGGGUGUGGGUGUGGUUUGACGGUGGGUGGUUUGGGAGGUUUUACUGCCGGUGGUUUAGGCGGUUUGCUAGGAUGUUUAGGCGGUUUGUGGGGGUGAGGUGAUGGUUUAGGAGGGCUACAGUCGCAAGCGAAGGAGACGGCAAGAAAGCCAAGGAAGAGGAGGAUAAGAAAAGAGAGGUUUUGUGUACGAGACCCCAUUUUUCUAGAGUGAGGGUGUGGUUUACCCAAA